UACCUAGAUUACCCCUCACUGCCUGUCUUUUAAAGUUAAUCUGUAGGCAUCCUGGCCCUUGGGCCAGUGUGGUCAUGUUCCACAUGGCUUUAAGUGCUUGUUCUGCUCCUACCUGGGUAACUCUGGUAAUUGUGGAACUAAUUGAUGCCACAGGCACCAGUAGCUCUGGUGAGUCUAGAUAACCAAGAUCAGUUGCAUGUUUCAUGGACCUGUCAGCUAUUUUAGGUAGAAGUCAUAGUGUCUACAGUGGCAACUAUGGUGACCAGAAAUCCAGGUUCGGUACCAUAAAGGGAGCUUGAUGAUCAACUUCCCCCAACCAAGAAAGGCAGCAAUGUGCAGAUUAUCUACUUCAGACCUGGGAGAGCAGUGAUGAAAAACGACACUGGACUCUUUUUGAAUGAGUGCAUUUUGAAUGCUUUAAGGAGGAUCCAUGCAGGGCAAGCCUGGUUGCUGGCCGCUGUGGUCAUCUCCACUCCAGGGCCAGGUAUUGAACCCAGCGCAGUUCAAAUGCCAGCUUGAUGCUGGAUCUCCCGUGUGGGCAGCAGCAGAUCCACCACAGGGGAUGGUCCUUCCAGGUUUUACCCACCCCCUUGGGUGAGCUCCUGGCUCUUAGUCCAGUUUCCCUAGGCUGAAGUGUACACUUGGAGAAAAUUCGAGUGUUCAAAGCAGACUCAAGCUGCCAGGAUACUGCCCUUAGAAUCAUGGAAUUCUAGUGUGGUUCUGUUUUGUUUGUGUCAGAACUUUGCAGAGGCUGGUUAGGCAGGAUUGUUGGGACAUUCAUAUUGUGUUGCUAGAGCCCAGAGUCUUAAGACUGGUGCAAGACGGACCAGAGUGAAAGCUUUUGCCAAAGAUGUUUUCAUUAAUCAAGGACGAAGGUGAAAGUGGGCGGUUUGAAGAGGCUUGGACCCCAAGUAUCCUGUGUAGUUCUGACCGUAAACGAUGUGGACAGCCAGUGUUGCUCUCAUGACCCACAGAUGGCUUCCAGGAAGCCGGAGUCCUCUGGCUGGCGGUGGUAGGGCUGGGGGGGGGGUAAGGUUCUAAAGCUAACUGAAAGACACAGCCCUGGAGUGGGCUUGAUUUCACUCAACCUGGACAACCCUUCCUGGCUCUCGUGUAGGUAGAACUGGCACAGCAAAAGCUCUUCUGUGGGUGGUGGUGUGCAGUGAUCCGCCUGGCUUAUGGAUAACUCUUGGGAUGAGAGUGCUAACCAGUUAGGCAGCCAGAGUAGUCAUUAUCCGUCAACUUUGAUAAGUGGUGCUCAGCCUUCCUAGGUUGAGGAACACACUGCUUUUUAACAUUGGGGGCCGAGUGUCACACUGCUCAGUGUAUGUGUCCCUGGUUAAAUCCAUUAACAGUGGGCUUGGGUUGCAGUUACUCCCCAUGAACGAGGAACUCCCUUGAGAGAGUAGAUCAAAAGUUUUCCUUAACUCCUUGUCUCUAGUACACUGCUUGUUGCCCCUCACGUUGCCCACUUGGGGUGGGCACUUAGGCCUGCAGAUCACAGAGAAGAAGGUCUAAAUAAAAGUUGUGACCAGUUUCCAUAGGUUGUCCUGCAGAGGGAGCAUUA
Molecule: non-coding RNA, 1567 nt
Organism: Mustela putorius furo (domestic ferret)
Lineage: Eukaryota; Metazoa; Chordata; Mammalia; Carnivora; Mustelidae
Source: Rfam